RNAcentral lists this ribosomal RNA (394 nucleotides) under Sigambra magnuncus. Its description in RNAcentral is "partial 16S ribosomal RNA". It matches the Rfam family "Bacterial large subunit ribosomal RNA", at positions 1990 to 2597 of the family's 2925-position model. The record is from RNAcentral. Lineage: Eukaryota; Metazoa; Annelida; Polychaeta; Phyllodocida; Pilargidae.
GUAUGAAUGGAUUAACGAAAAUUUUUCUGUCUCCACUAUAUUAAUAUAAAUUAGCCUUUAGGCGAAAAGACCUAAAUUUCAGUAAAAGACAAGAAGACCCUAUCGAGCUUAAUUAAAACCAGACUAGACACGAUAAUAAAACUUAACCUCUCUCUUGGCUAUAAUUUAGUUGGGGCAACUAAGGAUAAAACCCAUCAUCCUAAAAAUCCACGAUAAACAAAUCAUCCCAUAGAUCCACAAAGUGAUCAAAGAACAAAGCUACCGUAGGGAUAACAGGCUAAAUUUUCCCAAAGAGCCCAAAUUAAUGGGAAAAAUUGGCACCUCGAUGUUGGCUUAAAGUUUCCCUCAGGAGCAAACACUUGAAAAGGUUGGUUUGUUCAACCAUUAAAACUUU